Pan paniscus (pygmy chimpanzee) is the source of this 1501-nucleotide long non-coding RNA. The record is from Ensembl. NCBI's taxonomy places the organism in Eukaryota, Metazoa, Chordata, Mammalia, Primates, Hominidae.
UACUUGUCUAUUUUUUAAAACUUUUCUUAAAUGCCUUGAAGUCUUGCUGCUCUUUUGAAAUUAUGUGACUGUCAUUUAAUAAUGUUAAUGAGAACUGACUGCCUAGUCCACUUUAACUAAACUAUCCUGUGAACCAACGAUGUAGAUGCCAAAUAAACAGCUCUGAUGACCAUAGUAGAUGAAGAAUAAAAUAAUCCAUACAUUUAAUCCAUUCAUUUAAUUUUGUCUUUUUCUAGCCUUUUGUCUCAUAUGAAAAAUGUGGAAAACAUUCCUCCUCAGUAUUAAAGACUUCAAGAAGCUUUACUUUGGAAGAUUAAGAAAUAAUCACUAGAAAAGGACAUGUUACCCAUCACUGAGACAGAAAUGUUUUCUCAAUACAUCAAAGAAAACCAAGAAUAUGAAGACAUAAGAAUGAGGAAUGCCUGUUGGAUUUGGAACCUCCAAAGGACCCAAAAGCAAGAGAAUAUCAGAGGCCUCCUCAUCACAAAUAAAAGAGCUGAGAGAAAAUGUUUCAAGAUGCUUCACUGGAAAAACUCACCAGGUGCCUGUAACUAAUUUCUCUAAUUGGCAUACUCACUCUCACAUUCAAAACUUUCACAAUGAACAUACAACACAAUCAAUGAUUACCAGCCAGUAGGGAAGUGGGUCUUAAAUAAUCAAAUAAGAAACUGAGAACAUACUUUAAAUAGAAAAGAAAGAGAGAAAACACAAAAAUAACUCAUAAUAUUUCCAAAGAAACAAGAGGUGAUCAAAUAUCCACAAAACAAGAACCAUAGCCAAAGCAAAUAAGCAGAAUAAGAAAAAUUUCUUAGAAAUUAAAACAUGGCAUGUCAGAAUCACUUAAGUGCCUAAGUGACGAUAUAUGUUAAAGCCGAAAAUACAGUUAAACAAUACAUUAUUUAUCUGUGGAAAGAUUUACGAGCAAAGAAUACAUAAAGAACUAAUAUGUUGAGUUACAGAUUAGCAUCCCAAGUGCAAUUAACUAUUGUUUUAAUUUAGAAACAUAAUUACAAUGCAAAAGGUAAUAUUUUAGUUCUUGGAAAUGUAAUAGGCAAAAGAUGAAAAAGAUACAUACACAUGCAUUAGGCUAUGUAGAUGCUUUAACAUUUCCCUUUCAGAGUAAAAUUCAAGAGAAUUUAAACAAUGAAAUCCACCAAAUGGCCAUUUAAAUAAUUGUGGAAAAAAUUUUAUAUGCCUGCUCAUAUUACAAUUGAAAUUAUCUUGGAAAGUGUUUUCAAAUGAAGAAGACAUUAUUAUUUUUAGAACCUUUCAUUCUAUUUUAUCAAAUGUCACUUAUACUGGUCUUUCAUCAUUCUUCAGGUUAGACACUAUUCAAGGGUAUUAAUGUUGAGGAAAUGGACCCAUUUUUCUUUUACUUACAUGUUAUUUAGAAAUUUGAAAUAAUUUCUCAUAGAAAAAUAUUCAUGUCAUAUUGUCUAUAAAAAUCACUAAAUGUAACUGCUGUAUUUCAUUAUUUUAAGUCAUAUUAUUUAUAUCAUUG